Molecule: ribosomal RNA, 307 nt
Filed under: uncultured bacterium
Lineage: Bacteria
Description: partial 16S ribosomal RNA
Rfam family: Bacterial small subunit ribosomal RNA
Source: RNAcentral
AGACAGCAGUCGCCGCGGUAAUACAGAGGGUGCAAGCGUUAAUCGGAAUUACUGGGCGUAAAGCGCGCGUAGGUGGUUCGCCAAGUUGGAUGUGAAAUCCCGCAGCUCAACUGCGGAACUGCCUUUGAUACUGGGUAUCUUGAGUAUGGAAGAGGUUAGUGGAAUUGCGAGUGUAGAGGUGAAAUUUGUAGAUAUUCGCAGGAACACCAGUGGCGAAGGCGGCUAACUGGUCCAUAACUGACGCUGAGGUGCGAAAGCGUGGGGAGCAAACAGGAUUAGAUACCCCGGUAGUCCCUGUCUCUUAUAC